Molecule: long non-coding RNA, 1432 nt
Organism: Carassius carassius (crucian carp)
Lineage: Eukaryota; Metazoa; Chordata; Actinopteri; Cypriniformes; Cyprinidae
Exons: 4
Source: RefSeq, a predicted model, not a curated record
CUAAUGCCUAAUACCAACAAGAACAGAAAAAUCAAAUGUGCUUGAGCUUAAUUAAAUGCAAUGAGUUUAAUAAUUCUGUAUUCUGAUAAUAUACAUAUUUUUGCAGUGUAAUGCAACACAUUUUAUGUAGGUACUGGGAAAAAAGCAUAAUUUCAGUAUUUGAAGUUGCUUUCAAAGUCAACAUAAAAUGUUGUUUGCAAUCAAUUUUACUUGCUUUUAUCCACUAGUAGCCAUAAAAGGAAAGGAAAAAUGUAUCAAGAACUACAAGAAGUUGAGGUUAAGCUAAUGAUUAUUUCAGACAGCGAGUUAUAAAGUAGUUGUUGAAUUACUCUUUGUUCCUUGCGCAGCUGUUCCAUUGCCAGCUGAAACUCUCUUUCUUUUGCCCAGGCCUCUGCGAUGGUCGCUUGGUUUUGCUCUUCAUAUGCCAUGGCCACGACAGCCAGGAUCAAGUUCACCAGAUCUGUUCCAGUUCAGCAUCAGUUAACUGGUUAAAUCUGUGCAUUAGUCUCAGGAUUGAGGUUGCCAUGAGGAUGGAGGUGCUCAGGUCUCUAUAGUAACUGUGUCCUGGAGGUGAAUGAAGCGAUGGUAAUAAAAGUGUCUCUCAGGAUCUGCCUACUCACAUAAAGAGAGAGAGAGAAAAGAGCAGUGCAAAUCCACUAUGUUCUGUUGUCGUGAAAACAGCCAUUAACAAACCUACAAAAGGGCUUAGGAGGGAUCAGAUGUGAAUGUAGAGGGGAAAUCCACUCUGGGUUGUGUGCCUUGAGCCGAGGAGAGGACUGAUGGGAACUGAAAGUGUUAAACCCUGAUCACAGACAGAUACACAGAUCAUUGUUUCUUCUUACUGGGUUUGAAUUGUUUCAACACAGAACUGACUGCCACAGGACCAGACACCUGCGUGCAUCAUGACUGCAGACGUUCAAAACAUCUGUGCAUGUGGUGCGCUGUAAUGUGCAGCUGUCACAUGAUGCCAAAUCACUUUCAUUUGGGGAAUUAGAAGAGGAAUAUCAGCGGAUUUGGUUGGCAAUGCCAGAGAAGAACAUUACAGCGCUGUUUCAGAAAUGAGACCAAAUCCAAUAGAAUUCUGAUGAUAAGCAUUUUAGAUUUGCCUCAAAGUGUGAGCAGCUGGAUAUCAUUGUGCUGUUGGGCCAGAUUUUUGGAUUUUGAUGCCUAAAUGAUUAGUUUAGGAGGCCUUAUGUGAAAAAUCAAACCGCUUUUUGCUACAUUUUCUGAUAAUAUAUGUGGUGUUUGCCCAUACAGAAGCCACCAUAAUGAUACUACAACUACUGUAAUGUUGUGGAUGGUUGCUAGUGCAUUGCAUUUGGUACACCCUCAGAAAAAAAGCUACAAAAGCUGUCAUUUGUACCUUUUCAAAAGGUACAAAUACAUAUCCUUGAGGUUCUAAAAAAAGAUACCGCCCUAGUGACAGCUUUUG